UGAGGCCUUGAUUUGCACACAAGACUGGUUGAAGAAUCGCCCAAUGAUCUAUGAGGAAGUGUUUCAGGACUUUAUGGAAAGCUAUGAUGAACCUGAUGGGCCUAAGAAUCAACAUUCUCAUUCAAUGACGACUGACACAUCUUAUUCCUAGAGGAAGGAUUUUGCUAGAAGACCGA
Long non-coding RNA from Alnus glutinosa, 176 nucleotides. RefSeq lists it as uncharacterized. The transcript has 3 exons. Lineage: Eukaryota; Viridiplantae; Streptophyta; Magnoliopsida; Fagales; Betulaceae. The record is from RefSeq and is a predicted model, not a curated record.